AUGGGAAACAGGUUAAUAUUCCUGUACUUGGUGUUACUGCGAAGGGGGGACGGAGAAGGCUAUGUUGGCCGGGCGACGGUUGUCCCGGUUUAAGCGUGUAGGCUGGUUUUCCAGGCAAAUCCGGAAAAUCAAGGCUGAGGCGUGAUGACGAGGCACUACGGUGCUGAAGCAACAAAUGCCCUGCUUCCAGGAAAAGCCUCUAAGCAUCAGGUAACAUCAAAUCGUACCCCAAACCGACACAGGUGGUCAGGUAGAGAAUACCAAGGCGCUUGAGAGAACUCGGGUGAAGGAACUAGGCAAAAUGGUGCCGUAACUUCGGGAGAAGGCACGCUGAUAUGUAGGUGAAGCGACUUGCUCGUGGAGCUGAAAUCAGUCGAAGAUACCAGCUGGCUGCAACUGUUUAUUAAAAACACAGCACUGUGCAAACACGAAAGUGGACGUAUACGGUGUGACGCCUGCCCGGUGCCGGAAGGUUAAUUGAUGGGGUUAGCGCAAGCGAAGCUCUUGAUCGAAGCCCCGGUAAACGGCGGCCGUAACUAUAACGGUCCUAAGGUAGCGAAAUUCCUUGUCGGGUAAGUUCCGACCUGCACGAAUGGCGUAAUGAUGGCCAGGCUGUCUCCACCCGAGACUCAGUGAAAUUGAACUCGCUGUGAAGAUGCAGUGUACCCGCGGCAAGACGGAAAGACCCCGUGAACCUUUACUAUAGCUUGACACUGAACAUUGAGCCUUGAUGUGUAGGAUAGGUGGGAGGCUUUGAAGUGUGGACGCCAGUCUGCAUGGAGCCGACCUUGAAAUACCACCCUUUAAUGUUUGAUGUUCUAACGUUGACCCGUAAUCCGGGUUGCGGACAGUGUCUGGUGGGUAGUUUGACUGGGGCGGUCUCCUCCUAAAGAGUAACGGAGGAGCACGAAGGUUGGCUAAUCCUGGUCGGACAUCAGGAGGUUAGUGCAAUGGCAUAAGCCAGCUUGACUGCGAGCGUGACGGCGCGAGCAGGUGCGAAAGCAGGUCAUAGUGAUCCGGUGGUUCUGAAUGGAAGGGCCAUCGCUCAACGGAUAAAAGGUACUCCGGGGAUAACAGGCUGAUACCGCCCAAGAGUUCAUAUCGACGGCGGUGUUUGGCACCUCGAUGUCGGCUCAUCACAUCCUGGGGCUGAAGUAGGUCCCAAGGGUAUGGCUGUUCGCCAUUUAAAGUGGUACGCGAGCUGGGUUUAGAACGUCGUGAGACAGUUCGGUCCCUAUCUGCCGUGGGCGCUGGAGAACUGAGGGGGGCUGCU
Molecule: ribosomal RNA, 1273 nt
Filed under: Escherichia coli
Lineage: Bacteria; Pseudomonadati; Pseudomonadota; Gammaproteobacteria; Enterobacterales; Enterobacteriaceae
Description: partial 23S ribosomal RNA
Rfam family: Bacterial large subunit ribosomal RNA
Source: RNAcentral